This 493-nucleotide ribosomal RNA is filed under the name uncultured bacterium. Its description in RNAcentral is "SSU rRNA". It matches the Rfam family "Bacterial small subunit ribosomal RNA", at positions 26 to 518 of the family's 1533-position model. The record is from RNAcentral.
AGAAUCAACGCUGGCGGCGUGCCUCAGACAUGCAAGUCGAACGCGAAAGUCCCCUUCGGGGGAUGAGUAGAGUGGCGCUCGGGUGAGUAACACGUAGGUAAUCUACCUUUGGGUGGGGAAUAACAGCCGGAAACGGCUGCUAAUACCGCAUAAUGCAGCGGCUCGACAUCGAGACAGUUGUUAAAGCGGGGGAUUCCGUAAGGAACCUCGCGCCUGAAGAGGAGCCUGCGGCAGAUUAGCUAGUUGGUAAGGUAAUGGCUUACCAAGGCUUCGAUCUGUAGCCGGCCUGAGAGGGCGGUCGGCCACGACUGACACUUAAAUACGGGUCAGACUCCUACGGGAGGCAGCAGUAGGGAAUCUUGGACAAUGGGCGAAAGCCUGAUCCAGCCAUGCCGCGUGAGUGAAGAAGGCCUUAGGGUUGUAAAGCUCUUUUGGCGGGACGAUAAUGACGGUACCGCAGAAUAAGCCCGGCUAACUUCGUGCCAGCAGCCGC